AUGGCUGGGGCAUCAUCCACUGCUGGGACUUCGUCCACGGCUGGGGCAUCAUCCACUGCUGGGACUUUGUUUAUGGCUUGGGCAUCGUCCACUGCUGGGACUUCAUCCAUGGCUGGGGGCAUCAUCCACUGUGGGGGCAUCAUUGACUACUGGACUUCAUCCACGGCUGGGGCAUCCACUGCCGGGGCAUCAUCCACUACUGGACUUCAUCCAUGGCUGGGGCAUCCACUGCCAGGGCAUCAUCCACUACUGGACUUCGUCCACGGCUGGGGCAUCCACUGCCGGGGCAUCAUCCACUGCUGGACUUCGUCCAUGGCUGGGGCAUCAUCCACUGCUGGGACUUCGUCCAUGGCUGAGGCAUCAUCCACUGCUGCGACUUUGUCCAUGGCUGGGGCGUCGUCCACUGCUGCGACUUUGUCCGUGGCUGGGGCAUCGUCCACUGCUGGGACUUCAUCCGUGGCUGGGGCAUCAUCCACUGCUGGGACUUCGUCCAUGGCUGGGGCAUCAUCCACUGCCGGGACAUCAUCCACUACUGGACUUCGUCCACGGCUGGGGCAUCCACUGCCAGGGCAUCAUCCACUACUGGACUUCGUCCACGGCUGGGGCAUCCACUGCCGGGGCAUCAUCCACUACUGGACUUCAUCCACGGCUGGGGCAUCCACUGCCGGGGCAUCAUCCACUGCUGGACUUCGUCCAUGGCUGGGGCAUCAUCCACUGCUGGGACUUUGUCCAUGGCUGGGGCAUCAUCCACUGCUGCGACUUCGUCCAUGGCUGGGGCAUCGUCCACUGCUGCAACUUCGUCCAUGGCUGGGGCGUCGUCCACUGCUGGGACUUCGUCCAUGGCUGGGGUGUCGUCCACUGCUGGGACUUCGUCUACAGCUGGGGCAUCAUUCACUGCUGGGACUUCGUCCAUGGCUGGGGCAUCAUCCACUGCUGGGACUUCGUCCAUGGCUGGGGCGUCAUCCACUGUGGGGGGCAUCAUCCACUGCUGGGACUUUGUUUAUGGCUUGGGCAUCGUCCACUGCUGGGACUUCAUCCAUGGCUGGGGCAUCAUCCACUGCUGGGGGCAUCAUCCACUGUGGGGGCAUCAUUCACUACUGGACUUCAUCCACGGCUGGGGCAUCCACUGCCAGGGCAUCAUCCACUACUGGACUUCAUCCACGGCUGGGGCAUCCACUGCCAGGGCAUCAUCCACUACUGGACUUCAUCCACGGCUGGGGCAUCCACUGCCAGGGCAUCAUCCACUACUGGACUUCAUCCACGGCUGGGGCAUCCACUGCCAGGGCAUCAUCCACUACUGGACUUCGUCCACGGCUGGGGCAUCCACUGCCGGGGCAUCAUCUACUGCUGGGACUUCGUCCAUGGCUGAGGCAUCAUCCACUGCUGCGACUUUGUCCAUGGCUGGGGCGUCGUCCACUGCUGCGACUUUGUCCGUGGCUGGGGCAUCGUCCACUGCUGGGACUUCAUCCGUGGCUGGGGCAUCAUCCACUGCUGGGACUUCGUCCAUGGCUGGGGCAUCAUCCACUGCUGGGGGCAUCAUCCACUGUGGGGGCAUCAUUCACUACUGGACUUCAUCCACUGCUGGGGCAUCAUCCACUGCUGGGGCAUCAUCCACUACUGGACUUCAUCCACGGCUGGGGCAUCCACUGCCGGGGCAUCAUCCACUACUGGACUUCAUCCACGGCUGGGGCAUCCACUGCCGGGACAUCAUCCACUACUGGACUUCGUCCACGGCUGGGGCAUCCACUGCCAGGGCAUCAUCCACUACUGGACUUCGUCCACGGCUGGGGCAUCCACUGCCGGGGCAUCAUCCACUACUGGACUUCAUCCACGGCUGGGGCAUCCACUGCCGGGGCAUCAUCCACUGCUGGACUUCGUCCAUGGCUGGGGCAUCAUCCACUGCUGGGACUUUGUCCAUGGCUGGGGCAUCAUCCACUGCUGCGACUUCGUCCAUGGCUGGGGCAUCGUCCACUGCUGCAACUUCGUCCAUGGCUGGGGCGUCGUCCACUGCUGGGACUUCGUCCAUGGCUGGGGUGUCGUCCACUGCUGGGACUUCGUCUACAGCUGGGGCAUCAUUCACUGCUGGGACUUCGUCCAUGGCUGGGGCGUCGUCCACUGCUGGGACUUCGUCCGUGGCUGGGGCAUCAUCCACUGUGGGGGGCAUCAUCCACUGCUGGGGCUUCAUCCAUGGCUGGGACAUCAUUCACUGCUGGGGCUUCAUUCAUGGCUGGGGCAUCAUCCGUGGUUGUUUUGCUCAAUCUAUCUGAGCCACAGAUCCAGAUUAUUAAACAAUAA
Long non-coding RNA from Callithrix jacchus (white-tufted-ear marmoset), 2295 nucleotides. Lineage: Eukaryota; Metazoa; Chordata; Mammalia; Primates; Cebidae. The record is from Ensembl.